Molecule: long non-coding RNA, 364 nt
Organism: Bos taurus (domestic cattle)
Lineage: Eukaryota; Metazoa; Chordata; Mammalia; Artiodactyla; Bovidae
Source: Ensembl
ACUGCCGAUGCGCCUGCCAGCCAGAGGAAGCUGGGAAGAGGCAAGCCCGCUGGGCGCCCACGGGCCAGCUCUGGGAUCAUUCUGGAGGAUCACUUCCCUUGACAACGAUGUCAGCAUACAGAGGCCUGGGGCUCCUCGCAGGGCCCCGACUUGAUGGGACCAAGGAGACUCCCCAGCCGCUGCUGUCCCCGGGCUGGCCCCAGGGGCAGGGCGAGUCGAGCAGGAGCAUCCCGCCUCUGUCCGUGGGCCCGAGUGCAGCACCUCAGGGCCAGCUGGUGGUGCCAGGCCCUCUCGACGUCCACGAGCACCUCCUGGCUGAACCGCUGCCUGGGGACCCCAGCAGACAUGCUCCCCGAGUUCUCAG